UCCCUGAAGGACUAGUGGUUAGGCCAUGGCAGUCUCACCACCAUGGCCCGGGUUUGAUUCCCAGCCAGGGAA
Molecule: non-coding RNA, 72 nt
Organism: Pangasius djambal
Lineage: Eukaryota; Metazoa; Chordata; Actinopteri; Siluriformes; Pangasiidae
Source: the annotation of a GenBank genome assembly